AUUCCAUGAUGAGGGCAUCUUCGUAAUAGGUCUUUAAACCUUUCCCAUGCCUCAUAAAAAGACUCAUCAUGAAAGGUAUUGAUCUCAUUCCUCAACUU
Molecule: small nucleolar RNA, 98 nt
Filed under: Gossypium hirsutum (cotton)
Lineage: Eukaryota; Viridiplantae; Streptophyta; Magnoliopsida; Malvales; Malvaceae
Also listed under: 1 other name
Description: Plant small nucleolar RNA R71
Rfam family: Plant small nucleolar RNA R71
About the family: R71 is a member of the C/D box family of snoRNAs containing the C (UGAUGA) and D (CUGA) box motifs. Multiple nearly identical copies of this snoRNA have been identified in Arabidopsis, and it is thought to function as a 2'-O-ribose methylation guide for 18S ribosomal RNA.
Source: Rfam by way of RNAcentral